GGGUUGUGAGGUUAAGCGACUAAGCGUACACGGUGGAUGCCCUGGCAGUCAGAGGCGAUGAAGGACGUGCUAAUCUGCGAUAAGCGUCGGUAAGGUGAUAUGAACCGUUAUAACCGGCGAUUUCCGAAUGGGGAAACCCAGUGUGAUUCGUCACACUAUCAUUACGUGAAUACAUAGCGUAAUGAAGCGAACCGGGGGAACUGAAACAUCUAAGUACCCCGAGGAAAAGAAAUCAACCGAGAUUCCCCCAGUAGCGGCGAGCGAACGGGGAGCAGCCCAGAGUCUGAAUCAGCUUGUGUGUUAGUGGAACGGUCUGGAAAGUCCGACGGUACAGGGUGAUAGUCCCGUACACCAAAAUGCACAGGUUGUGAACUCGAAGAGUAGGGCGGGACACGUGGUAUCCUGUCUGAAUAUGGGGGGACCAUCCUCCAAGGCUAAAUACUCCUGACUGACCGAUAGUGAACCAGUACCGUGAGGGAAAGGCGAAAAGAACCCCGGCGAGGGGAGUGAAAAAGAACCUGAAACCGUGUACGUACAAGCAGUGGGAGCCUCUUUAUGGGGUGACUGCGUACCUUUUGUAUAAUGGGUCAGCGACUUAUAUUCUGUAGCAAGGUUAACCGUAUAGGGGAGCCGAAGGGAAACCGAGUCUUAACUGGGCGUUAAGUUGCAGGGUAUAGACCCGAAACCCGGUGAUCUAGCCAUGGGCAGGUUGAAGGUUGGGUAACACUAACUGGAGGACCGAACCGACUAAUGUUGAAAAAUUAGCGGAUGACUUGUGGCUGGGGGUGAAAGGCCAAUCAAACCGGGAGAUAGCUGGUUCUCCCCGAAAGCUAUUUAGGUAGCGCCUCGUGAACUCAUCUUCGGGGGUAGAGCACUGUUUCGGCUAGGGGGUCAUCCCGACUUACCAACCCGAUGCAAACUGCGAAUACCGAAGAAUGUUAUCACGGGAGACACACGGCGGGUGCUAACGUCCGUCGUGAAGAGGGAAACAACCCAGACCGCCAGCUAAGGUCCCAAAGUCAUGGUUAAGUGGGAAACGAUGUGGGAAGGCACAGACAGCCAGGAUGUUGGCUUAGAAGCAGCCAUCAUUUAAAGAAAGCGUAAUAGCUCACUGGUCGAGUCGGCCUGCGCGGAAGAUGUAACGGGGCUAAACCAUGCACCGAAGCUGCGGCAGCGACACUAUGUGUUGUUGGGUAGGGGAGCGUUCUGUAAGCCGUUGAAGGUGGCCUGUGAGGGUUGCUGGAGGUAUCAGAAGUGCGAAUGCUGACAUAAGUAACGAUAAUGCGGGUGAAAAACCCGCACGCCGGAAGACCAAGGGUUCCUGUCCAACGUUAAUCGGGGCAGGGUGAGUCGACCCCUAAGGCGAGGCCGAAAGGCGUAGUCGAUGGGAAACAGGUUAAUAUUCCUGUACUUGGUGUUACUGCGAAGGGGGGACGGAGAAGGCUAUGUUAGCCGGGCGACGGUUGUCCCGGUUUAAGCAUGUAGGCGGAGGUUCCAGGUAAAUCCGGUACCUUUUAACGCUGAGGUGUGAUGACGAGGCACUACGGUGCUGAAGUAACAAAUGCCCUGCUUCCAGGAAAAGCCUCUAAGCAUCAGGUAACACGAAAUCGUACCCCAAACCGACACAGGUGGUCAGGUAGAGAAUACCAAGGCGCUUGAGAGAACUCGGGUGAAGGAACUAGGCAAAAUGGUGCCGUAACUUCGGGAGAAGGCACGCUGAUAUGUAGGUGAAGUGAUUUACUCAUGGAGCUGAAAUCAGUCGAAGAUACCAGCUGGCUGCAACUGUUUAUUAAAAACACAGCACUGUGCAAACACGAAAGUGGACGUAUACGGUGUGACGCCUGCCCGGUGCCGGAAGGUUAAUUGAUGGGGUUAUCCGUAAGGAGAAGCUCUUGAUCGAAGCCCCGGUAAACGGCGGCCGUAACUAUAACGGUCCUAAGGUAGCGAAAUUCCUUGUCGGGUAAGUUCCGACCUGCACGAAUGGCGUAAUGAUGGCCAGGCUGUCUCCACCCGAGACUCAGUGAAAUUGAACUCGCUGUGAAGAUGCAGUGUACCCGCGGCAAGACGGAAAGACCCCGUGAACCUUUACUAUAGCUUGACACUGAACACUGGUCCUUGAUGUGUAGGAUAGGUGGGAGGCUUUGAAGUGUGGACGCCAGUCUGCAUGGAGCCAUCCUUGAAAUACCACCCUUUAAUGGCUGGUGUUCUAACGUGGACCCGUUACCCGGGUUGCGGACAGUGUCUGGUGGGUAGUUUGACUGGGGCGGUCUCCUCCUAAAGAGUAACGGAGGAGCACGAAGGUUAGCUAAUCCUGGUCGGACAUCAGGAGGUUAGUGCAAAGGCAUAAGCUAGCUUGACUGCGAGAGUGACGGCUCGAGCAGGUGCGAAAGCAGGUCUUAGUGAUCCGGUGGUUCUGAAUGGAAGGGCCAUCGCUCAACGGAUAAAAGGUACUCCGGGGAUAACAGGCUGAUACCGCCCAAGAGUUCAUAUCGACGGCGGUGUUUGGCACCUCGAUGUCGGCUCAUCACAUCCUGGGGCUGAAGUAGGUCCCAAGGGUAUGGCUGUUCGCCAUUUAAAGUGGUACGCGAGCUGGGUUUAGAACGUCGUGAGACAGUUCGGUCCCUAUCUGCCGUGGGCGCUGGAGAAUUGAGGGGGGCUGCUCCUAGUACGAGAGGACCGGAGUGGACGCAUCACUGGUGUUCGGGUUGUCAUGCCAAUGGCAUUGCCCGGUAGCUAAAUGCGGAAGAGAUAAGUGCUGAAAGCAUCUAAGCACGAAACUUGCCCCGAGAUGAGUUCUCCCUGAGACU
This 2807-nucleotide ribosomal RNA is filed under the name Citrobacter freundii. RNAcentral describes it as "bacterial LSU rRNA". It matches the Rfam family "Bacterial large subunit ribosomal RNA". Lineage: Bacteria; Pseudomonadati; Pseudomonadota; Gammaproteobacteria; Enterobacterales; Enterobacteriaceae. The record is from RNAcentral.